RNAcentral lists this ribosomal RNA (240 nucleotides) under uncultured bacterium. RNAcentral's name for it is "partial 16S ribosomal RNA". It matches the Rfam family "Bacterial small subunit ribosomal RNA", at positions 15 to 235 of the family's 1533-position model. The record is from RNAcentral.
GAUCCUGGCUCAGGAUGAACGCUGGCGGCGUGCUUAACACAUGCAAGUCGAACGAAGCAAUUGCGACAGAAGCCUUCGGGUGGAAGAUGUAAUUGACUGAGUGGCGGACGGGUGAGUAACGCGUGGGUAACCUGCCUUGUACAGGGGGAUAACAGUUAGAAAUGACUGCUAAUACCGCAUAAGCGCACAGUAUCGCAUGGUACAGUGUGAAAAACUCCGGUGGUACAAGAUGGACCCGCG